GUCUUAGCUAAGCUACCAUAACCAAAAGUCCACCAGACCUGAAGAUAGUCAUGUCUUGCGCAGACACUUGAAGGGAACAGAGCAGCAAGACAAGGAACACAAAGCCUGAGACCAAACCCUGCAUAGAAGCACUCUUUCAGACAGGCCACCUUGUACCCAGCCGCAAAGCCCAAAAGGAUAGACACUCCAUAAAUUUCUCGUGUAACACAGGAUUGAAAGUAUUCAUGUACUACCGAAUAAUAAUUGUCAUGUGUGUAUUUAUUGAAAAUGCAAAGCACCCUAUGGGUCAUAGUAUCCGACCCUCC
Non-coding RNA from Pelobates cultripes (western spadefoot toad), 305 nucleotides. The record is from the annotation of a GenBank genome assembly. Lineage: Eukaryota; Metazoa; Chordata; Amphibia; Anura; Pelobatidae.